AGGGAAGCUUGUCUAAAUCCUCCCGCCUGCAAGCUGCCCACUCCACACUCCAGUCUCCUGCGACCCUGCCUCCUGCCUCUCUCUCUCUCUCACGCCGCGCAGCCGUCUCUCUCCGGCUGCCUCUCUCUCUCUCUCUCUCGCCUUCCGCGGCCGUCUGUGGACUCUCUCUCUCGCUCUCUCGUUGCAAGCGGCAAGCCGUUGUGUCUCUCUCUCGUCUCCCGUCGUGUCCGGUGGUUUAACUUCACCGUCGUCUCCCUCACUUUCUCGUUGCAAGCGGCAAGCGGUCGUAUCUCUCUCUCGUCUCCCGUCGUCUCCCGUCUUUUCAGGUGGCGAAAGGGGCUUGGGAAGAAGCGGUAAUGGAGAGAAAUUCUGCUGCUUGUGCCAUGGAAUGGAGUAAUGAGCUUGAGAAGGCCCUCCGUUCCAAAAAACCUGGUCUAUCCAUUGAAACUAUAUUACAAACGGGGCCAAGGCUAGAGCGUUGGAGUAGAGAACCUGAACCUACUAUGGCAGUGUAUAACAUGUUUGGCUUAGUUCCAGGGGAGGAUAUGCUUUUUGCGAACACCAUUCUGUUACGGCUUGCUGAUGCUUUUAGGUUGGGUGAUAAACACACCAAAUUUGCUGUUGUUAGGAUUUUCCUAUCUGAGUGCAGGCAUCGUGACAAGAAGAAGAAAAGUAAAGGACACAAAGGGAUUUUGUCAAAGGUCAUGGUGCUAAAUCACUUAGAAUUAUUGACAAGAAUAAAGGUUGUUUUUGACUCCGGUGAUGUUGAGUCAAGAGCAUUGGCUUUAGCUCUCUUUGGUUGUUGGGCUGAUUUUGCAAAAGACAGUGCUCAGAUACGAUACUUGAUACUUUCUAGUCUAGUUUCUUCUCAUGUUUUGGAGCUGAAAGCGUCAUUAUUUGCAGCCGGAUGCUUUUCCGAGUUAUCAGAUGAUUUUGCGUCUAUUUUAUUAGAGAUGCUGGUUAAUAUGGUGACUUCAUCUGAAACACUGUCUGCUGUAAAGUUAGCUGCAGCACGAGUUUUUGCAAAAAUUGGGUGCUCAUAUUCAGUUGCAAAUAGAGCUUACAAGACAGGUCUAAAGUUAAUGUUGGACUCUUCAGAAGAGGAUGUUUUGGUUGCUUUGCUGGUAUCACUCUCAAAAAUUGCUUCCAAAUCAAUGAUUCUUAUUUCUGAACAGGUGGACGUGCUUUUCUCAUUUCUUAAACAAGAAAAGACACCGCGUAUGAAAGCAACAGUAUUAAGAUGCUUGCAUUUCAUUUUGAUAAAAGGAUUAUGUCAUUUUCCUGUGAGUGCAGAUCUAGUCAAAUCAUUAUUGAGCACAAUGAUUGAGCCCGAACUUCCCACAUUUAUGCAAUAUGAAGCUCUACAGAUUCUACAUAAGGGGAAUGUGCAGAUCCUUCCAUAUAUGCUACCUCAUUUGCCCUGUCUGGACCUGCCCGAAUUUGCUAACCUUUUAACCAUUGCUGAAAAUUCCUCCCAAUUUCCAAUCACGUCGAAGAGCUUCUUAUCCAUCCGUGUUCUGGUGGAUAUAUCAAUCAAGCUUAGGGAAAGAAUGGAAAUAGAAUCUAGUAUGUUUUGUUCCUCUCCUCUGCCAUCAAGAGUGAUCUCAUUGAUUAUAGACCAGAUGACGUUGCUGAUAAAUGAUCUUUGCCAGAUUGACUCUCGAGUGUUUCAAGAAGUUCAUAGUCUGCUCCACCUUCUUGCUCUUUUGGUUGGUGAGCAUCCGGAUCUGGGUGUUUUGGUGCUGGACAAGAUCUGUUUAUUUGUUGAGUGUGUUGCAAAUAUGCACGAACAUGUCCUGGCUAAAAGCCAAUCAGAUACACUGGUUCUUGAGAUGGACUUCAAAAAAGAGAAGAGCACAGUCGUUAGGUCAAAACUUGUACUUAUUGCAUUCAGAUUUCUGGUUGCCUGUCUUGAAAAUCUCAAUGAAGCUGGUGUUCUCACUUCAAUAGCAUUUGAAAGAGUGAAGCUCCUGGUUGAACGGGUGUGUCAGUGCAGCUUGUUUGAUUGCUAUACACAUACAAUCUACUCUCUUUUGUUCCACAGUCGAUUCUUUUGGGAUUGCUUGGUGGACGAAAGUGAGGGAACUUGCAGUCUUAAUAAAAACUUUUUUAAUUAUUACUUGGUUGAGAAAGAAAUUCUUGCCCUAGAGUGUGCAAAUAAGAUGUUGAAGGAGAGGUAUAACUGGCCUGCUUACAGAGCUGGGACAUAUGCAGCAUGUCAGGGAGCAUGGUUCACAGUGGCUUUCAUAUUUGGGCAGUUAAUAACAAAGGUUCAGUCUGAUAUCUUCCACUGCUGGUUAACAUCGAUAAUUCAAUUGGCUCGUUCUGAGAGGAAAAUCCAGCUAUUGCUUUUACCAAAACAAGGGUCUACUUUAGUAGAUUGGUUAGAAAAGAACAAAUUUCCUGCCAGUCAUGCUUUGGGUGAAAUCAGCAGGGAUACUGCUGGAAAUAGUAGUGAGCCUAACUACAGUGAAGAGCUUCUGGAGGCUUAUGAGGAUAUCUGCUCUUCAGGGAAAACAUUAGAAGCUGCUGUCACAUCGGGUCAAGAAUUUUGUUUCCAGAGAUGGUUUCUGCAUCUAAGAGCUAAACUUUUAAGAGCUUUGUUGGAUAUACUCAGAAUUUUCAGAAUCAUCCCAUUCAACCCUGACAGCAUUAGCAACAAUGGAGAGGUGGAGAAGAGUGUAUUUGAGUGCCUGAAGUCUUUGCCAGAAAUUAUCCAGAUUUCUUUGCAGUUUAAGAAGCUAGCACAAGAAUUUGAUCUAAUUGCCACAUCUUUCAUAGAUAUGGAUUGCAAAAGUUCCAAAGUAAUUUCAUCACUUGCACUAAGUUGUUCGCUUUUGGCCUUUAGUACUGGCUUCAUACUCUUUCUUCCAAAUCUUCCUGCCUAUGAAACUUUUACAACUUGUGGUCUGAGAAACUCGGAAAACUGUUUACAUGCAAUGUUAAUACAAGAUUUAGUUGGGCGUUUGUGCCAUGUAGACCAUGAGACAAGUAGAAAUCUGUGUCAGCUUUUUGAUGUUAGUGGACAGGUUAAGAGCUGUUUUCACUUGCAGUCUACAAAUAAAAAUUUGAAGGUUGGAUGUGAAGGAAAGGAUAUUAUUACUGUCUGUAGUUAUGCUGUUUUGGAGGCUGUUCGUUUGCAAGAGGCAAAUAGAGAGCAUAACGAGGAGAUUUUAUCCCAAGUUACCAAGGGGGGUUUACAACUUCUGUUGAGCAUUAUAAUGAAAUGGAUACACGUUCCUUUUCGGACUCCCAAAUAUUUCUUUAAAGUAAGGAGUUGCAUUGGAUCAGAGCUCUUUGCCUGCAACUCGGACACUAAUAACCCAGAUGGCAUAUCUGUAUUAUCAGGCUUCCACCUAUCGCUAAACCUUUGUCUUCAACUGGUUAACUUGCCACCAGAUCUCCCAGCUCGGCUAACAAAGUUAUACUGCAUCCUUUAUUGUAGUGUUUCCUUUCAGGAUCCCAGACCAAGUGAGGAAGACAAGGAGCGAAAGCAGUGGGGUUGUCGAGCUUGGGAAACUGAUGACAUGGUAGAAAUCAAUGAAAUGCUAUUGCAUUAUGUGACAAAUUUAAGUACCAAAAGGAGUAAUAAUAGUAAGCGCAGAAGGUGUGAUAACAAGAAGGACGGGGUUGUUUAUGCAUUUGCGCAUUUUGAACCAGAUGAGAGAGGCCAAGGAUUUGCAAGUUGUUUGCUUGAUAUUUCUGGUUUUCCAGUAGGCUCUUAUAGAAUUAAAUGGCGUAGUUGUUGUCUGGACAAUCAGGGUUCUUAUUGGAGCCUCGUUCCUUUAAAUGCUGGACCUAUAGUUACAGUACGGAGAUCUCCAAUUGGCAGAUGAUUUUUGUAAUGAAUUUGGUGAGGCUGAAGUUCAAGAGGUAUUCAAGUUCAUGGCUACUAUUAUUUUUUGAAGCAGUUCCCAAAGCAAGGUCUGAAAUUCAAUCAGAGAACAGCUGAGCCACUGUUGCUCUUGCAGAACAGCAGAGCCACCAUCGCUUUUGCAGAACAACGUAAACAUCAAUCCACAAAGGGUUUCCGUUCUGGUUGCUCUUAAUCUGUUUGUUUCUUGAGAAACCCAAAGAGAAAGAGAUUGGAAGUAACUGGACUGAACGUUGGAGGUAAGCUCUUCUCUCUGUUUUGUUUUAUUCCUUUUGAUUUCCUCUUCAAUGUAAAGGGCAUCUUGCAUUUGGUGAUUUUCAAAGUUUAGGAGUGGUAGUCAUUGUCUGAUUGAAGUUCUGAAUGAAUAGCCAAAUAUAAAAGAAAACGUUGUGUGUAUUUUGGGGGGUUUCGACCAUCGCUUGCAUCUCUAUAUAACUCAACGCAAUUAAGCCUCAUACCAUCUGAAUUUGCCCACUUGCAAAAGUAUCAUAACCAUAUUGAGCAUGUGAUUGGGUCUUUUUGCAUAAUUGGCUGAGCUGAAUAAGCUCCUCUAGCAACAUCUUGGCAUGUGUAUAAAUAUGUGGAGAGUGAUAAAAGUUUGAAGUAGGCUACAUAUCCUUGAGUCUUCUAUGCACUUUGGUAUUGUUUUAUUGCCUUUUCUUUUUGGGGAAUUUAUAGGUUGCUGUGCUGUGACGAGAUGACCUUAAAAUAGUGAGGAGUUAAACUCUGUGAAGUUGGUUUCUUCGAAAAAGUGCUAAGAUGACUUGUUUCUGUAAUUGAAGAUAUGAGUCAACUUGAUGUUUCAUGUCUGUACAAUAAUGAUAUGAAAUUUGCUCUUUGAUUAGAAGGGUGAAAUAUAUUGCUUUAUAUCUUAAUUUUCAGCAUUACGUGUUGGUUUACUAUUGGCUUCCAUCUUAGAUAUCUUCCUUUCUUUGUAUAUGGGUUUGAUAUAUUAUCUUCUCCUUAACUUUUUGGUGUAACAUCUGAAACAUGCAUCGCUUCCCUUCUUCUCCUGGUGUUUGAAUGUGAGGGGAGGGGAGUCAAUUUAUGCUUCAUUAAGGAGUUUUUAAAUCUUGUGCUAUGAAGAGAUUAACUUUUAAGUGGGUUGAGUCAUGACAUUGGCUAUUACUGAUAAGAGCGGGAAAGCUAGUAGAUCAAUUUGGAGGCAAUGCCCAGAUUUCAAAUGUUCAGACUAAAAUCCCAUGCAUUGUUUUCAACGAGGAAGAAAUCAUGGUUUCAAGUUAUGAAGUGACUGCACAACAUGAAAUAAUAGAGCCUCCCUGUGGCAAGUCAGAACCUACUUAGGUGUUUUGAAGAUGAGCUAUGUAAAUGUUAAUUCAAUGAAGAAAUUGCUUUUAGUGCUAUUGUGGGUGAGGAGAGUUUGAACGAAGUCUUGCUAGCAACCAGGUAGUUGGGCUUUAAUAUAAAUUUGGACUUUUAUGUACCCUUGAGCUACUAUUGAUAAAGCAUCGGUGGGUUAUUUAGGUCUUUUAUGGUGCUUAAUUGUCACUUCGCUUUCGUUCUUAAUUUGGCUUUCUAAUAUGUUUUGAUUAGGAUUGAGUAGAAAUAUGCAGUACAAUUGAAGCACACCACUUUGAGACCUAUUAACUUGAGACUUGAGUUGCUGAUAUUUUAGGAGAAGUGUGCCCUAUGUUUUAUGUAGAAACCAUCUGGCGUGGCAAAAGUUCACUAUUGCCUUUGGUUUACUAUGAAGAGCAAGGAGCUCGAUACUUUUAGGUUUGUAUUUGUUAUGACAAAUGGAAUUUCCUAAAUCGUUAACAGAAUCAUGUAAAGUGUUAGAGAAAAUGGUUUUAGUUGGGGAAUCUCCCUGCUGAUGUAUUAUAGGAAUUCCUCUGAAAGAGAUGUGUGUAUUUUGUGUGUAUAUAUGUAUCCCUGUAUGUUGCACUAUAGAAGAUAGUCAUUGACAGAGAAAGGAGAGAUUGAUGGUGCUCAAUACAGUUAGAGCUAUUGUUGGCAAUACAGAGUCACUUUAAGAAAGAGAGCUUGAUGCUACAAUAGCUGCAAGGGUAAGAAAGAACUUGAAUCUUAAUUCUUAAUUUGGGUGAAGAACUUCAGUAGAGUUACCUAUAUGUCUGUAUGAUAUUUUCUUUAAUCAGUACCUCUCUCUUUGUGUCUAGUUAUCUUGUGAACAUAAUAACGAUAUGUUUUUCUUAGGUAGGUUUGCCUCAAUAUGAACAUGGAAGUCACCUUCCUGAUCUAGAGUCCAAAUUUUUCCAACUUGAUCCUGUACAUCCUGCUGUAUACAAGGUAAUUUAUUUAGGAACUUAGUUAUGGUAUUACAUUGAAUUUAUCAUCUUUUAUAGUGUUUAAAAGAAAACUAGUCUUGCACCUAAUACUUUAUUUCCACACUAACUGUUUACUAGAGCAGUACAUGAAAAUACUACUGCAUUACUGCAUUUAGUGUAAGCGCAGCGGAGUGCUGUGUACUGGUUUGUAUGGUCACAUGUCUGUAUGGAUGCCUUGUUUCCAAUCUUUAUUCCUGGUGUGGCAUACUUAGCUUAGGCUGCAUGUGGCUGUAAGUAUGUAACAUGGAUAAUAACCUACAAACAAAUGUCACAUUUCUGUAGUAACUGAAAUGACUCCAAUCCAAAAAGAGGGAAAGGAAUCUGUUUUCAAAGGUAAACAUUUUUAGAGAUGAAGUAUUAGACCAAUAUACUCUCUUCCCAGAACUUAAAUGAGUGUAUAUCUAUGAAUCCUUGAUAUCUUUAUUGCCUUGAACUUGUGGAGACCAUUUUGUCUUAUCUUUUUGCAAGAAGGUUCUAUUUGUCUGGUCUUAAGCCCCACCUAACACAACACAAUAACACAUAGUCUGAGAAUUAUAACAUAAAUGAUAUCAUUUAUGGCAGAAAUUCAAAUGGAGGCAAAAGAGUAAAUAAUAUACUGGUAGUCAUUUCAUUUAUCGAGUCUGUGAUAAGACAAAUCUUUGUAUGGGUAGUUCUUUUCAUAAGUUCGACUCAAUUAGGGCCAAAAAACAUGACAGGCAUGUCUCAUUCCAAUGCUUUGGUUGGUUUGAGAUCCAAAUUUACAGGAUCUAGAUACAUGGUGGCAACUUCACAUUGCCACCAACAUACAUGGUGUACAUUCUUUUAACUUGAUGUCAAAAUAACUCGAGUCAUUUUUUUGCUAUUGUAGGUGCCAGCUAUUAUAAGUCUUAAGGGUCAUCAAACUUUAAUUUGCCACUAAAUAUACAAGAGAGAUAUUUCCCUUCACAAACAACAAUCUGCCCUUUCCCGGCUUCUACUAAUAUAUUGUUGAUCCUUUUCCUUUCUCUUAUAUAUGCUGAGAUUUUUUUUUUUGAUAAGUAUAUAUGCUGAAAUUGUUAUAUAUAUAUAUAUAUAUAUAAGACUUUUUUGGUCAACCAAACCAUGAGAACUUUAAAAAUGGAUACCAAUCUUAUAAAUUGGUCAGAUUAGAUUUGUUUAUGUCCAGUAGAAUUAGAGCAUGUUUGGGAUUGUGUUAGAGAGUUUAAAAAGUACUUUUAGUAUCUAAAAUGUUGUGUGAAAUAAAAGUUGGCCUUUUUGGUAAAAAAUUUCAAAAGUAUAUAUAUAUAAAAACUAGUCAAAUUAGUAUAUAUCAAAUUAGAACUAGUCACUGAUCCCAGCAUUGAAGUAUUGAAAAAACUCAUAUAAGCAAAAAAUCUCAAUUAUCCUUGAUCAUGAGACAUAUAAUUAUCACUAUAAAUAAGAACCAUAAUUCCAACAGUAGUAAUUAAGAUUGACAUAAUAGAAGUGGAUCGAUCAAGUAGGUGAACUCUAAAGAAAAGUCAUUAUUGAUGGUCCAAGACCAUACAUAUUGAUAGAUAUAACUGUUAUUUAUUUGCUGAAUAGGCGGAUUGGCUGAAAAAAAUCAUAACUAUACUUAACAAUAAAACACUAGGAAAAGCCCACAUGCGGCGAAGAUUUUUUGUUCCCUUGGGGAAAAGGAGAAGUCCCACUCCUAUUAACAUAGGAAUUAUAACUGGAAUGAAAGGUAUGAUCCAUGAAUAUUGAUAUGUAUAUUCCAUAAAAAUAAAUAAAUAAAAAUCUUUUAUUCUUAAUUAACUGUUUCUGAUUCACCAGCUCUUUUUUUUUUUUUUUUGAAAGGAAUCAGUUAAUAAAAAAAUUAAGAUAUAUAAAACUAAAAUAAAAUUUUAUAUUCUUAAUUAUUAUAAAUUUUUUCCAAAUACUUCAAACAAAACAAGAUAUUUCAAAUCAAGAAGUUUGAAUUGGUCAAAUGAGAUGACCAAGCUACUAUUGAAAAAUAAAUACUUACCUCUUUUUUUUAAGUAAGAUUUUAUGAAGCUACAAAAAAUAAAAAUUUCUAUUAUUAUUAUUAUUACAAUUUACAUAAUACAAUAUUUUAACAAUAUUUUAAUCUCGGGAGAGAGUAAGGACAAAUAAUUACACCAAAAAGAGUAUUUUAUUUUGAUAUGAUUUAUAAAAGAUAGACACAGUCCAUACAUAACUUAACUACAGGAAAUAAGAGCUAUUUUUUUUAGUUCGUUUAUUCAGAAUCAUUAACCAAUGCAGUUUUGAAUUGAUUGAAGGAAUUACUAAAAUAAAAUGACUUUUCUUUAGAAAAAAAUGAUGUAUACUUUAACACAUUAACUGCGAGUCUCAUUUGAAUUUGAAAAUUUUAAUUAGGUGCACUCUUUUUCGAGUUUGACUAAUUAAGCAAUUAAAAAAAGAUUAAGGAAAUUAAGGGUAUAUAUAAAAACUUUUUUACUCUAAAAAUGGUCAAAACACAUUUUUGGCAGAAGCUUAAAAAUGAACCUUUUGCCAAAAAGCAAUUUUUAACUUAAAAGCUCUAUUUUUCGAGCGCAAUCCUAAACAUACUUUUAGUAGUCAUAUAAGGAUAAAUAUGAGUUUCAUACCUUGUGAGCAAGUUGUAAGGUAUCAAAUAUAUUACUUACUGCUUCUCUCACUUGGGAUUGGCUCCAUUUCUUUGUUGCUUUUGUAGAUGAAAAAAAUUCAAGCAGCAGUUAUGGCUGCGGUUGUAUCUAUCCUUGAUUCCUUCUUGUUGAGUCUGUAAUCUAGGCAUUAAUGCUUUCUGUUUGAAUUUAAAAUUAAUGUCAAAUUCCAUAGUUUAUAAUGUAAUUAUCUCAAAAGAACAAUUUCUUUUGUGAAAACUUGAUUGUAAUAUUUAUGUUUGAAUUUGUAUGAUAAUAUUUAUGAUUGAACUUUUGUCGAUAAUUUGAAUGUAUUGUUUGAUGUUA
Corylus avellana is the source of this 9089-nucleotide non-coding RNA. Lineage: Eukaryota; Viridiplantae; Streptophyta; Magnoliopsida; Fagales; Betulaceae. The record is from RefSeq and is a predicted model, not a curated record.